Small nuclear RNA from Budorcas taxicolor (takin), 195 nucleotides. RefSeq annotates it as U2 spliceosomal RNA. NCBI's taxonomy places the organism in Eukaryota, Metazoa, Chordata, Mammalia, Artiodactyla, Bovidae. The record is from RefSeq and is a predicted model, not a curated record. The transcript has a single exon.
AUCACUUCUCGGCCUUUUGGCUAAGAUCAAGUGUAGAAUGUGCUCUGUAGGAGGUUUCCUACAUGGACACACUCUGGUCUCACCUGUCUCCGUAAUCAGGAACCCAGUCUAUUUCUCUCUUACCACAGAGGUCUGUGGGAUUUAUGGGGUUAAUAAAGGAUGCAGCUUUUACACUUUUUAGAAAUCACAAAGUCC